AUGUUUCCUGAGAUUAAUGCUACAUUGAAAGAAGUUAAAAAGGAGACAGAAGUGGGACAACCGUCCAAUGCGAAGAACAAUGUUGGAGAUUUGGAGAAGGAGGUUUCUUUCAUUAAAGAAAUCAGCAAGUCUGGGAGUAGGGGCAAUCAUGUUUUUCAUUUUCCAGCUGAAGUUCGACUUAAGGCCCUCUGUCCCGACAUUACUUCGUGUCUUAUUAGGGAUUUUGACACGGGUGAGUAUCUUCCAUGUAAGAUCAUCAAAUCAAAUAAGCCAAAUGGUGAAAUGUCUCUUGGAAAAUGA
Molecule: non-coding RNA, 300 nt
Organism: Vicia faba (fava bean)
Lineage: Eukaryota; Viridiplantae; Streptophyta; Magnoliopsida; Fabales; Fabaceae
Source: the annotation of a GenBank genome assembly